This 148-nucleotide non-coding RNA is filed under the name Homo sapiens (human). Lineage: Eukaryota; Metazoa; Chordata; Mammalia; Primates; Hominidae. The record is from Rfam by way of RNAcentral.
GCCGGGUAUGGUGGCGCAUGCCUGUAAUCCCGACUACUUGGGAGGCUGAGGCAGGAGAAUCGCUUGAACCUGGGAGGUGGAGGUUGCAGUGAGCUGAGAUUGCACCACUGCACUCCAGCCUGGGUGACAGAGCCAGACUCUGUCUCCA